ACCUGUCUUGCUCAAUGAGAAAAGCAUGGGACUCUUGAUCUCAGGGUUGUGAGUUCAAGCCCCAUGUUGGGUG
This 73-nucleotide transfer RNA is filed under the name Ailuropoda melanoleuca (giant panda). It matches the Rfam family "tRNA". From Rfam's summary of the family: Transfer RNA (tRNA) molecules are approximately 80 nucleotides in length. Their secondary structure includes four short double-helical elements and three loops (D, anti-codon, and T loops). The record is from Rfam by way of RNAcentral. Lineage: Eukaryota; Metazoa; Chordata; Mammalia; Carnivora; Ursidae.